This 4854-nucleotide long non-coding RNA is filed under the name Heterocephalus glaber (naked mole-rat). Its description in RNAcentral is "lncRNA (ENSHGLG00000032902.1)". Lineage: Eukaryota; Metazoa; Chordata; Mammalia; Rodentia; Bathyergidae. The record is from RNAcentral.
CAAAACAGAGAAUUAAACAGAUUCUACAAUGUCAGGUGUCCUUCUUUUCAGUAGAUGAAUAGCCUUGAGUCUAAAAGAGACAAAACUGAUUAAGCAAUUGAAUAUGCAUAGCCAAAUUUAAGAAGCAGAAUGGAAAGACAGAUUGAGGAAAGAAGCCAAGUCCAGACACUGUUCUUAAGGGGUUGAAGUAUGAAUUGUAACCAGCUAAGUCUUCAACCUGCUUAUUCAUAGAGGUUAUCUAUAAGUCUCAUUUUUAUUGUUUUUAGAUCUUUCUCCACCUAAUGUAAAUUAUUUGUCUAAAUACAAGGAAUUUAAAGACUCUUAUUGAGCUUUUAUAGCUGUCAUUGUGACUUAUUGGCCUCAUUAAACUAUAAUAGUGAUAAGCUAUAGGUGUAGGGGGAGACAGUUAGCAGGGGUCAGUGUAGUCAUUGGAGUGCCCUUUUUAUAUCUAGCCUACAUUAUUAGCAUUUUAAUAUUUUUGUUAAACUUUCUUCCUGGGUGUUUAAGAUCAAAUUAAGGUGAGAUUUGUGUUAAUCAAAAUUAAUCUCUCUCUCUCUCUCUCUCUCUGUCUGUCUCUCAUUAAGGCUCCUCCUCAGAGAUUAUUUUUGGGACCAUGUAAAGAGUCUCUUAUCUCCUCUGUCAGUGUAACCUGCCAGGAUGGGUCAUGGUCUUGCCUGACUAUAAGGCUUCCCAGUGAAGUACAGGAGGUGAUUCCCUCUUUGGUGACUCUCCUUUAUAGCACCAUGUCCUCUGGGGUCCAACAAUCUCCCUGCUCAGGAAGUUUGGUGACUUAUCAGACUUGUAGAAUCCUUUUGGAGAAGUCCCCUCAUGUCUUGUGUCCUUGAUUGCCUUGGAGGGCCAGGGCCAGCCAAAAUAUUGGUUGUCCUCUUAGCCUAGUUAUCUUUUAAGAUUUGGCCUCUAAGCCUUAAUUGCUGAACACACAGAAGGUCAGUUCCACCAGUACUGACGUGGAAGGAGUAGGUUUAGCUAUCAUAAUUUUUUUAUCUGAAUAUCAAGCACUUUGAAAUGUAAAGUAUAGCCAGAAAACUGGUGGGGGUUUUGUUUUAUUUUGUUUUGUUUUGCUUUUUACCAAUCAUGUUUGUCUUAAAAGUCCAAUUCCCAUAGAAUGUUAACAGAUAACAGUUACAGAGUUUUCCAGGGAAAUUUUGAAAUCAAGGGCAAAGUAACAUUUUAACACAACAAUUAUGUGACAUUAUUUUAUUAGAACCAUAAGGCUUUUUAUUUCUGAAAAUAUAUGUAAAUUCUUAUUUUAGUAUAAAAUAACUUUUUAGUCACUUACCUUUAUCUAAUUUCAAAAUAUUAAGUGACAUAAAGAAGUUUUUACCUAAAUUUGUUAUCUUUUUUUUUUUUUUGGUACCGGGGUACCGGGGAUUGAACUCCGGUCCUUGUGCGUGCGCAGCAGGUGGUGAAACCACUGAGCCAAAUCCCUGGCCCUAAAUUUGUUAUAUUUUAAAAGUGCCAUUUAAGUAGAAUGUACUUCUUUAUAGAUGUACUUUAUAGGUUAAUAAUGUCCAUUCUUAAAUCUUUGGAGUGUCAUUGCCUGGACUGCAUGUUGUUUAGCCACCUCUGACUAUUGUAACACAAUUGCAUAAUAACCACAUAAACAUAAGCAUGAAAAAUUAUCCAUAUCACCUGGCUGUCUGUCUCAUGUUGGGUUGGUGGGUACAUUUCAUCAAAGUAGCUGGACCACAAGCAAAGGAAAGCCAGAUGAUUAAGUUACAAGUUAACCAUCAAAAACAACUUUAGCUUGGAAGUCAUCAGUACAAUAAGGUGUUUUCUUAAGUUUUGUAUCUUUGAAGGCCUGUACACUUGAGAAACACAAAUACAUCUAAUAUACCAUCAGGUCAGCGCUAAUAAGCUUUACAGGUACAUAGAUAUCUUUACACAUGUUUACUUAGUUUUUACUCUUAGGAAAAAAUUUAGACACCUUUAAUAAGCUUACUGACAACAAUUAAGGACAUCUUUAGAGCUCUAAUAAAUUUAGGAAACAGGGCUGGGGAUGUAGCUCAGCAGCACUGUGCCUGCCUGACAAGCGCAAGGUCCUGAAUUCAAUCCCCAGUGUUGGGAGCAACGCUACGUAAUUUUAGGGUAAAAUCAUUUGGUUAGCCUAGUUCUCCUGCCUACAACCCAGCUAUGGAAUUCUGAGACAUAAUUCCAUUUUGGCCUCCGGUCACAACUGAGACCUCAAUGAUCUGGUGAUGCUGUGAUGCUCCAGGACAAGAUUACACCAGCGGGAGACAUCCUGAGAGGAACAAAGUCUUCAUCUACUCAGUUCUUCAUUGUUCUUGGAUUGUUACAUCAUGUUUACAGGGAUGUGCUGAACUCUCUGCAAGCCAAACACCAGGGGUGAAAUUAAGUCAACCUUACCUGAGCAGCCACCCAGAAUUGCCAUUUACAGAGCCUGUGAAUGCUGUGGAGAGAUGACAUUGACUUGGUGUUGGGAGAACCAAGCAGGCAGGCAUGGUUAUACAUGGUGAGAUGACAGCUCUGCAGUUUCCAGAUGCAAGUAUCCAGCAGCCAUGGAUGGCAACAUCAGAAACCCUGGGACAAACACCAUAUACUCGAUGUCAACAGUCAUUUUCAUCCACUACAACUGAUGUCUAUCAGAUUCCAACAUGCAACUCAUUUCUAAUUAAUUGAGCAGAGGUCAACCAGAUAGGCAGCUGUCCUGUCACCACUUAACUUAGAGUUGAUGCUUUCUUCAUUGAACAGAAAUACCCCUGUUCCAAGUGUUACGAAUUUCAGAAAUGGGGGGAAUAUAUAUUUAACACAGUAAGAGAGGGGAGAAUUAUGAUGAAAGGUGGAUUAAAGUGUAUAUUCUGUGGCAAUGUUGUCCCACAAACUCAAAACCCUGAAUGAAUCUAAAUGUUGAGCGUCUUUGGUUCUAGGUGUUGGGAGCCAGAGGUCCUCCUGCUUAUAGGGUCCUUGUGCUAUCUGAGGAGGCAGAACCUCAGGAGCCCAUCUGCACCAUCACCAGGUCCUUGGGAUCCCUGGGCCCACAGACUUUUGAGAGGCACUGCUUGGGGCACAAAGAGAGCGGGCUGUGAGGGCAGCAGGCUUAGAUGGGCAGAGGAUGAGGCUUGGGUCCACCUGUACUCCAGCUCUGGGCACAGGCUCUUGCAUUUGAAUCUGUCCCCCAUUGUUGCUGCUAGGGCCACCCAAGCAAGGCACAGUUCUUCCUCAUUGCUAGGGGAAGGGCUACUUCAGGACCUACUUUACAAAUUGUCCUGGAGAUGGCAGGAAGCCCCUGGUGCAUAGUAUGUCCCCAGUAAAUGUUAGAGAUUUCUAUCCAAGCUGCCUUCCUUGGCACUACUCUUGGGUCUAUGAGGGGCAGUUUUUCAUCAGCUCAGGUCCAGAUUUGCCCUUGCAAAACACACUAGUUCGAUGCCUGAAAUCUCUUUACCCUAAAGUGACCUUUGGAAGGAGAAUCUGGCAACGCAUUUUUGAGAAAAAUUUUAUUUGUAGACCAUUGUAGAUUCCCAUGCAGUUGUAAGAGGUGUAAUCAAAACAUACAGUGAAUGUUUAAAUUUUAAAAAUGUAUUACGGUACAAGACACACUGCAGUUGAUCCUCCUCAAAAUACUCUCCCUCACUUUGAAGGUAGUUAUUCCAUUGUUCUUAAUACUUUCUGAAGCAGUUCUAGAAAUAUUUUUUCCUGGGUGCUUUUAUGAGUGAUGACAAAAAAAAAAAGAUGGUGACUGCUGCUGCCAAGUGCCAUCCAAGAGAAAGGCAGGCUUGUAAAAGCAUGAUGGUGUGUCCUCAUCCACCUUGUUCACUAACCUAACACCAUAGAACUUCCGCUCUUCCCCAAAGAUAAACUUUCUAAAUUAAUUCAGGACCUCAAGCCAGCUAUGACAGUGCAACUAAAGACACAAAAGAGGACUUCCAGAGCUGCUCCAGAAAGUGGCAAGUACUGUGGGAUAAGCCUGUUCAAAGCGAGGGGAAGUAUUUCGAGGAGGAUCAAUGGCAGUGUUCUUUUAUUGGAAUAAACUUUUAAACACUUAAACAUUCUCUUUAUUUUUUGACCAUAGUACAUACUCUGUUAGGAAGUUCAAAGGUGCCUUGUAAGUUGUGAGAAAGAUUAUGCCCUUCCUCAGCCUCCCUCAAUGGAGACAUCUUCUAAAGCAAUAGUGUGCAAGAUUAAAAUUGGGUAUUAAUGUUGAUACCACCUACUGAUCUUAUUUCGGGUUUCUCCAGUGUCACUUGCACGUGUGUGUUAACUUCAGUGCAGUGUUCUGACAUGCCCUUGUCACGUACAUGUACAGCCACACUUAUUAAAUAGUUUGUCCAAACAUGAGACUUCCAUGAUUUUCAGGGGCCCUGCCUCAAUGUACUCCUGUGCUAAUCAAAAAGAAAAGAUCAAUAGAUACACAAGUUUACAUAUCACAUUGUUUCUCUUGUGUGAGAAACCCAAAGGGAAAAUAAGGACCAAAAUGGAUGACAGAUACUGGGAAAUAGGAAGAAAAUGUUCAAAUGGGAAGGGGAACAAGGGAUGGGGGAGAGAAAUGGAAGAAAGGAAAAAGGAAAAAAUGGAAACAAAACUUUUGUAAAUGGGAGGGGGAGAAGGGUUGAAGGGAGAGGAGGAGAAUGGGGCAAAAAAGAAGAAUCAAGACACAUCGUGUACAGGUACAAAAUCCCUGUGAUGAAUGUAAUCAAUAUACAUGACAAAUGUGUACAAGUGAAAAAUGUAAUCAAUAUACAUGACAAAUGUGUACAAAUGAAAAAUAAAGUUUAAGAAUAGAUUGUUUAAGCAGAAAAACAAAAUGAAGAACAAAAAAAGAUUGAUAAAGCAAGUAGAUAAAGUGAACAACAUUAAACUCAGGGAAGGACCAUC